Non-coding RNA from Podarcis lilfordi (Lilford's wall lizard), 1736 nucleotides. NCBI's taxonomy places the organism in Eukaryota, Metazoa, Chordata, Lepidosauria, Squamata, Lacertidae. The record is from the annotation of a GenBank genome assembly.
CUCAUGGGGAGGAGGAGAAGGGAACCAGCCAGGUGACAGGACACUCAGGUUACCACCACAACUCCUCCCUCAACCCCUCCUUUCUGUAAUGUAUGCAUGAUGUUUCUGGGGGUGGGCUUGACCUAGAGGAUGGGAAUUUCAAAAGUUUUUAUAAGGUCUUGCACACCAUUUUCUGUGUCUUUCCUCUCUCCUGCAAGUGAGGGGAACACCCUGUUGCAACAGUUCAAUAAAGGCCAAGCCUACAGGCUGCUGUUUUGCUCCAAGUUAUCCUGGUUGGUGUCUUUGUUUUGUCCAAGGGAGCCCUCAGAUUUUUCCGGUAACAAUGACAGAGGCCAUCAAACCUCUACUUAAAAACCUCCAAGGAAGGGGAGUCCACCAUCUCCCAAGGGAGACUGUUCCACUGUUGAACAGCUCUCACCACCAGAAAGUUCUUCCGUAUGUUGAGUCGGAAUCUCCUUUCUUGUACCUUGAAGCCACUGGUUCUUAAGUCCUGCCCUCCAGAACAGGAGAAAACAAGCUUGCUCCCUCUUCCAUGGGGCAGCCCUAACUGUGUUUCAAUCAGGAGUAAUUGCCUCCUGAAUUUUGACACCAGGGGAACUCUGCCAGCGGGGGAAAGCGGCAAGUCUGGGUGUGAAAACACAGGGAAGACACCUGCCUGAUAUCAAUAGGGAGGGAGUUCCAAAGUGCUGCCAGAAAAUCAAGUUCUUCCAAAUGUGCCCGGGGCCAUUUUGCUCUUUGCAGGCUCCCCUCUGCCCCAUUCUUCCCAGGCACAAAGCAAGCUGGCAGCCGCUUGCUAUGUGUGCUCCGAGCCCAAAGGAAUGCUGGAUGCCCUGAACCGGUUUUCUGGGUGAAAGGUGACAGAAAGCCUCAGGGCUCUGGCUGCCUUUGGGGUCCCGCCUCAUCCCUCAGGUUCUUUCUCUGCCCUUGCUCAGGUCAGCCCAGAGAAUGCAGAGGGUUGUUGUCUUGCCAGUUGGAAAUCUGAGGAACCAGGAGGCCUCGCCAGUGGCUAUGUUUACAAAUGCGCAGGACCUUAAGCGCUUUGUACCAAGACCAACAUUUUGUGCGAUUCCUGGCUGCGGCAAGCAAGGUGUUCCCAGCCACAGAUUAUUCAGCCAUUGUGAUCAAAUGCAAGGACCUAAGGGCAUAAGAGGACAUGGGUGGCGCUGUGGUCUAAACUACGGAGCCUCUUGGGCUUGCCGAUCAGAAGGCUGGUUCGAAUCCCUGCGACGGGGUGAGCUCCCGUUGCUCGGUCCCAGCUCCUGCCAACCUAGCAGUUUGAAAGCACAUCAAAGUACAAGUAGAUAAAUAGGUACCACUCUGGCAGGAAGGUAAAUGGUAUUUCUGUGCACUGCUCUGGUUUCGUUAUGCUGGCCACAUGACCUGGAAAAACUGUCUGCGGACAAGGGCCAGCUCCCUCGGCCAAUAAAGCGAGAUGAGCGCCGCAACCCCAGAGUCAUUCGCGACAGGACUUAACUGUCAGGGGUCCUUUACCUUUACCUUUUUAAGGGCAUAAGAAGAGCCUGCCGGAUUCAGCCCAAGGGGACCAAUCUAGUCACAGUGGUCAGCCAGAUGCCCACCAGCAAGACCCAAGUACGACCCCACCCCCACCAACGCUCUCCCCACCUGUGAUUCCGGGUGAUUGGCAUGAUUCAGAGGUGAGAUUAUCCAGAUGGUGGAGGGACGGCCUAGCCAUUGUGGCCAGUAUUAUUGAUUAUUAUUUAUCUUUUGUGUACCUA